This is a long non-coding RNA of Astatotilapia calliptera (eastern happy), 3682 nucleotides long. NCBI's taxonomy places the organism in Eukaryota, Metazoa, Chordata, Actinopteri, Cichliformes, Cichlidae. The record is from Ensembl.
CACACAUAAGAUAGCAUCUUUUGCGUGCUACACCAAUGCAACUUUAUAUACUCUAUUUUUAUAUGUGUCACACAAUACUUUUAGUAAAGCUGUAUAUUACAAUGAUUUACGAGUCCUUUAUGCCAAAUAGCGCAUUAGGAAAAGUAAAAGGACUCUGCACAGUGGUACAGUGGUUAGCCCUAUUGCCUCACAGCAAGAGGGUCAUGAAUUGAAAUCCACCAGCCAACUAGGGCCUUUCUGUGUGGAGUUUGCCUGUUCUCUCCACGCUUGUGUGGGUUCUUUCCCACUCCCCUUUGACUUAUGUGUCAGUGUGAGUCCGGAGAGAUGUCUGUGACAGACUGAAUACUUGUCCAGGGUGCACCCUGCUUCUCAUCCUAUGGCAGCUGGUACAGGAUCCAGUUGAAGUGACUUAAAUUUGGAGCCAGCAAAAUAAAAAAUAAAGUCUAGGCAAGAAUGUAACAUAUAACUGUGUUAUGAGGUAUCUAAUGAGAUGACGUGUUAGUGAACCUUAGAUACCAAAUGCAAAGUUUUUUUUGCUUAUUACUGGGUUUCACCUUCUCCGUUUCGGUCCUCCAUUGUUACAUUAUUUGCUCCAUAAAAUCAAUUUGUUUACAAUGAUUGACAGGACUGGAUGCUGCAGACAGACCAGUACUAAAAUAGAAUAUAUUGAGAAUGGCAGCAUGCUCGUAUACAUUGUUCAUCAUUAAUGAUGCAUGUGCACUAACGCACACCAAUUCUGAAUUUUGAACUCUGUGGUCACAACAAUCCAGUAGUUCCCUUUAUUUUUAAUGCUAAAGUUCAUGAUUUUAAAAUGCAUGGUAAGAUACAGUGGUAAGUGCUUCUGAGCCCAAGAAUUGACACUACAGCACAAAACUGCUUUAGCUUUAUUAUUGCAGUGUGGGUUAAAGUCAUUAAUAACAGCAUUAUUGCACUAUUACAAACAAAGAUUUCUCUGGAUUCUCUGAAUCUUUAACAUUUGAUGUUUUUGCACAAGUUUAACUUAAAAAUACAACAUAAAUAUUUAAAACAAUAAUGUUGUUAUUUACAUUUUACGCAGCAUCUCAUCUUCUUUGAAUGACGAUUGAAAAGAAUGAAAGCAUUAUGAUUGAAAUAAUACAAUGAUAUAAAAAUAACACUCUCCCUCGGUCUUCUUCCACCAUGACAGGACAGGAAAAUAAAAAGGUCGUGAGUGAGACUCAGGUGUGCUGAAAUCUUUAAUUGGAUUCCACACAAUCUCCUUUCUUGCUUCAGUGUAAUAAAACAAAUGGGUUUUUAGUUCUGCGACACUCUUAUGCCAUUUAUUCAAAAAGGAAACAGUGAUGUCGUGUUUAUGAGCAGAGUUUAGAACUGGAUCCAAAUGAAUGUGCAUAACUUAGUCUUCGCAAGUAUAUACAGUGAAUUUAAACUGGAACUGUAUAUGUACGUGUCUCUGUGUGUGUGUGUGUGUGUGUGUGUGUGUGUUCAUGUAUUGAGAGAGAAAGAUAUAGGGACAACUCUCAGAUGUGGGGUGAGGAAAAAGCUAUCUUGGAAACCAUGUUUUGAGCAUAGCAGUGACUUCAAGGUCAAUGUUUUAGCCCCAGGAUAAAAAACUAAUAGCAUAAUAAUGACAGAGAGGGAACUGCAAACAGGAGAUAAGGUGGACGAAAACAAAAUGCUGAUCGCUGAGAAGGCUGAUUGCAGAGCUACUGUGCUAGCAUUAGAAAGAGGAAGAGAGAAAACUGAGGAGGAGACAGAAAGAACAACGUUAGGGAUAUUAAAAAAAAUUAUGGGUGCUUGUCUGCUGUAUUUCUGUGACUCACAUUAAAAUGAUUGAAUGACUAUCUGACAAGGUAAUCGUUUAACAUCCAUGACUUACAAAGGACAAAAUUCAGCAUCUCUCACUUUGUCGCUUAUAUUCAGUCGUAUGGGACAUGAAUGACAUAAUGAAACACACUUUUUUGACUAUCCAAAUGAAUCAAGUGAAUCCACCUGCAGUGUUUCCAUAUACUAUUGCAUCCCUGUCCCACUAUCGGUCCACUCAGUUUUCAAGUUGGGAGAUUUGACAGGAGAUCGCUGAUCUAAAAAUGACAUAAGUCACAGUAAACUUGGAUGUAUAAAAAAAUUGCAUUUUUUAUAAAUACAAAGACCUGUGCGUAGCACACAGUGAAUGCCUUGUAAGGUUAUUAUUUAGUUAAACUGAGCCAUCACAUGUACAAUUAUAUACGACAGUUUGUAUAAAAUAUUUACAUAGAUGUUGCAUUAACAGUACCCUAGGCAAUGUUUUUGCAAAAUUUCGUCAAGAUUGAUGCACUUGUCUAGGAGGAAGAACUCUUCCUCUAGGAGGAACAUACAAACAGAAGCUACAGUCAUUAUAGUAUGAACAUGCAAACAUGCCUGAAACUAUAGAUACAUAAAAGGCAAAAACAGAGUUCCUACAAAGCUCUUUUUUGGAUCCUGACUGCUGUUUGUUUUAUUUUCUGUCAAGAUGAUCCCGUGCUGUAAUAAUGUAGCAAUCCAGGCUCUGGGGAGGCCAUUCCAUGACUGAUAGUGUUUUAUUUUGUGUUUUUCUAGCAGAAAAAAAAAAGUGGAUGAUGUUACCAGUUGGUUGCUUUCUCAAUGGUAUUGCAUGGUGGUUAAAAUCUGAUGCUGCUUGUCUGCAUUUAUAUUUCCAUUCAUUUUUACAUGAUUCCCAACCGCUCCAAUUCAUGGCAGAGACUCCACCAUGUUUCACAGAUGGCUGUAAACACUUACUGUUGUAUCUCUCUCCUGUACCUCCUUUACCUUCCACUUCUUCUUUUGUCCUCCACUUUUGUCCUCCACUUUUGUCCUCCAGGUUCUUCAAAUUUACUUGAACACCACACUGCGCAUCAUGCUUCUUACAAAGCCAGCCUGUCUAAUGAAAUGAGUAACUGGUCAACAUCCCAUCCAUCCAUCUGGGCACCCAUAGCUUUGCCGGUCUGACCUGGAGCCACAACACCGUCGCCCUAGUAAAGAAGGCCCAGCAGUGGAUGCACUUCCUCCAUGUCCUGAGAAGAAAUAACCUGGACCAGAAGCUACUGCUGGCCUUCUAUCACUCCUCAGUGGAGAGCGCACUCUGCCUGGGUGUUUGGUACGCAGGGGCCACAACUGUGAACGGGGAAGGCUGUGCAGAGGGUAAUUAACGCUGCCCAGAAAAAUAAUUGGCUGCCCUCUGCCACUCCUAGAGGCCAUCGCCUGAUCCUCUUGUCUCAGGAAAACCUGGGCCAUCACAAAUGACCACCUGUUUGACCUGCUGCCCUCUGGGUCAGUUAGGUCCCACACCUCCAGACUCACAAACAGCUUCCUUUCGUGGGCCCAUUUGGACUGUUAAUAAACACUAUCCCCCUACACCCCACUGAUGACCACCCACCUCACUAAUCUGAACUGAGUAUCAUGGACUGAGUAACGCUCAUCACUCAGGCCACUCACACACGGACUCUGUUCAGACCAAGUCCUUUCUUUGCAGUAAUUCCAACCACUUUGCAAUUUGUUCUCUAAUGUGUUCCUUUCUCUUAUUUUUGCACGUUUCACUUGUUUGCUCUUUAUUCCUGCUGUCUACUACUUAUAUUUUAUUCCAGCACAGUUGGUGUGGUGCACCCACAAUUUCGUUGUACAUGUACUAUGACAAUAAAGGUGAUUCUAUCCAUUUUAAUUACAGGAAUUGAAAUGGGAACUUUCUUUAAAA